This 468-nucleotide ribosomal RNA is filed under the name Triticum aestivum (bread wheat). Its description in RNAcentral is "partial small subunit ribosomal RNA". Lineage: Eukaryota; Viridiplantae; Streptophyta; Magnoliopsida; Poales; Poaceae. The record is from RNAcentral.
AUGUUCUUUUGGCUGUUGCUGCUGAACAGAUUAUGGUGCAAUGACCGGCUCCAGCGACGAGGAUUGCCGAACUCCUACUUCUGCCAACUUUGCCUCAGAAACCUGGAGACUGUUGAUCACCUCUUCUGGUCGUGCCCGUUCGCUCAGGCACUCUGGGGCAACCUGGCGACCUGGAACGGCUGUGAGACCUUGAAGCUGCACGCGGACAGUCCCGGCCUGGACGGGGUGGGUCGCGUGGUCAAGGUUGUGGAUAGCACCAAACCUGAGCUCAGAAAGGGGAUCAAGUCAGUGACGCUGCUUGCGUUGUGGGAAGUGUGGAGGCACCGAAACGACUGCACUUUCAGAGGGUGGGAGGCCUCUUUGAGUGAGGUAAUACAGGCGAUCAGAAGGGCGAUUGAGCUAUGGCGACAGGCGGGUGCAUCCUGCAUGCUGCAUCCUUUCACAUUGCCACCAGAAGGGAUAGCAUGA